CUGGCUCAGGAUGAACGCUGGCGGCGUGCUUAACACAUGCAAGUCGAACGAAGCGGCUUCUGCUGCAAGAAAGCUGACUUAGUGGCGGACGGGUGAGUAACGCGUGGGUAACCUGCCUCAUACAGGGGGAUAACAGUUGGAAACGACUGCUAAGACCGCAUAACCCGCUAGUGUCGCAUGACACGGACGGAAAAAUAUUUAAUUUUAACGAGUUAAAAUUUGGUAUGAGAUGGGGCCCGCGUCUGAUUAGCUAGUUGGUAAGGUAACGGCUUACCAAGGCGACGACCAGUAGCCGACUUGAGAGAGUGAUCGGCCACAUUGGGACUGAGACACGGCCCAAACUCCUACGGGAGGCAGCAGUGGGGAAUAUUGGACAAUGGGGGAAACCCUGAUCCAAGCGACGCCGCGUGAGUGAAGAAGUAUUUCGGUAUGUAAAGCUCUAUCAGCAGGGAAGAUAAUGACGGUACUUGAGGAGGAAGCCCCGGCUAACUACGUGCCAGCCGCCGC
RNAcentral lists this ribosomal RNA (507 nucleotides) under uncultured bacterium. RNAcentral's name for it is "bacterial SSU rRNA". It matches the Rfam family "Bacterial small subunit ribosomal RNA", at positions 19 to 518 of the family's 1533-position model. The record is from RNAcentral.